GAAUCUUUGAACGCACCUUGCACCCUUUGGUAUUCCGAAGGGUACACCCGUUUGAGUGUCAUUGUAAUCUCACUUCUACAACUUUUUUGUUGUAAAAUGUGGACUUGGACGUCUGCCGUGUUUCAACGGCUCGUCUUAAAUGCCUGAGUGUACCCCGCUUUGCGGCGUAUUCGGUGUGAUAAACAUUUCACCGGAGUUUGGUCUUUUGACCGCGCUUUUGCAAUCGGUGGGCUCUAUGCUUUCCAACCGUCCCUUGUGGACAAUCUUUGACAAUUUGACCUCAAAUCGGGUGGGACUACCCGCUGAACUUAAGCAUAUCAAUAAGCGGAGGAAAAGAAACUAACAAGGAUUCCCCUAGUAACGGCGAGUGAAGAGGGAAAAGCUCAAAUUUUGAAUCUGGUGUCUUUGACUCCCGAGUUGUAAUCUAGAGAAGUGUUUUCCGUGUCGGACCGCGUAUAAGUUCCCUGGAACGGGGCGUCAUAGAGGGUGAGAAUCCCGUAUAUGCCGCGGACUACCGAUGCUCUGUGAUACACUCUCAACGAGUCGAGUUGUUUGGGAAUGCAGCUCAAAAUGGGUGGUAAAUUCCAUCUAAAGCUAAAUAUUGGCGAGAGACCGAUAGCGAACAAGUACCGUGAGGGAAAGAUGAAAAGCACUUUGGAAAGAGAGUGAAACAGUACGUGAAAUUGUUGAAAGGGAAGCGUUUGAAGUCAGUCACGUUUGUUGGGAUUCAGCCUGGCUUCUGUCUGGUGUAUUUCCUAGCCGACGGGUCAGCAUCAGUUUUGACCAAGGGAAAAAGACAUUUGGAAUGUGGCUGUCUUCGGGCAGUGUUAUAGCCUUGUGUUGUAUGCCUUGGUUGGGACUGAGGAAUGCAGCGCGCCUUAUGGCCGGGGGUCGCUCCUCUCGACACGCGCUUARGAUGCUGGCAUAAUGGCUUUAAGCGACCCGUCUUGAAACACGGACCAAGGAGUCUAACAUGUGCGCGAGUGUUUGGGUGU
RNAcentral lists this ribosomal RNA (995 nucleotides) under uncultured Sebacina. RNAcentral describes it as "eukaryotic LSU rRNA". The stretch from base 276 to 995 matches the Rfam family "Eukaryotic large subunit ribosomal RNA", at positions 1 to 701 of the family's 3401-position model. The record is from RNAcentral. Lineage: Eukaryota; Fungi; Basidiomycota; Agaricomycetes; Sebacinales; Sebacinaceae.